GGAAACCAGGUGCUAAUACCGAAUAAAAUUUAGUAUCGCAUGAUAUCAAGUUAAAAGGCGCUACGGCGUCACCUAGAGAUGGAUCCGCGGUGCAUUAGUUAGUUGGUGGGGUAAAGGCUUCCCAAGACGAUGAUGCAUAGCCGAGUUGAGAGACUGAUCGGCCACAUUGGGAGUGAGACGCGGCCCAAACUCCUACGGGAGGCUGCAGUAGGGAAUCUUCCACAAUGGGCGCAAGCCUGAUGGAGCAACGCCGCGUGUGUGAAGAAGGCUUUCGGGUCGUAAAGCACUGUUGUAUGGGAAGAAAUGCUAAAAUAGGGAAUGAUUUUAGUUUGACGCUACCAUACCAGAAAGGGACGGCUAAC
This 362-nucleotide ribosomal RNA is filed under the name uncultured bacterium. RNAcentral's name for it is "bacterial SSU rRNA". It matches the Rfam family "Bacterial small subunit ribosomal RNA", at positions 152 to 501 of the family's 1533-position model. The record is from RNAcentral.